Molecule: non-coding RNA, 278 nt
Organism: Felis catus (domestic cat)
Lineage: Eukaryota; Metazoa; Chordata; Mammalia; Carnivora; Felidae
Rfam family: 7SK RNA
About the family: 7SK was discovered as an abundant small nuclear RNA in the mid-70s but a possible function has only recently been suggested. Two independent studies have found that 7SK RNA binds the CDK9/cyclin T complex (known as elongation factor P-TEFb). P-TEFb activates transcription by phosphorylating the C-terminal domain of RNA polymerase II.
Source: Rfam
GGGUAUGAGAGUGAGCUGGCUGCAACAUCUGUCAUUCCAUUGAUUGCCAGGCUGGCUUCAUUAGUUCUGGCUGGCUAGGCUAGGGUAUCCUUUCUCCCUUACCUUUCCAAAUGCAUCUCUUCUCAAGCUGCAUGCUCUGUCAAAGAGGGCAUGCUUCUCUAGUAGGGUGGAUCAUUCUUCAGAGAAGAGUAUAAUUUAUUAUCGGAGUAUUAUUAUUUAUUAUUGGAGAAUAACCCAACUUCAUUCAAGAGCACCUAAAUGAUCUCUUAGUUCUUUUU